UCUCAAUUAAUUUUUUUUGCCGCUCUCCAUCUCUCGACCUCUCUCAACCUCUAUCGUCUCCCUAGCUCUGAAAGACAAGAUUCCUCGUCUUCACAAAGUCGACGGCGACGAGUACGGCUACGGCGCGCCAUCGCUCGCUCUCUCUCUCAAGCUCUCACCCUCUCUCUCUCUCUCUCUCUCUCUCUCUCUCUCUCUCUCUAGCCCGACCUCACUCUCUCUCUGUCUCGCUCAACCUCACCCUUUCUCUAUCUGACUCGAGCUCGACCACCUCACCUUCUCUCUCUGUCUCGGCCUGACUCUUCUCUCUCUGGCUCGACAGCACCGAAGACUUUUCAUAGAAAACGACCAUGUAGGAAUGAGAAAAUCUGAGAAUGCAAGUCGGCUAUCUGAGAGCGACGUUGGCAUUUUGGUUCCUCAGAUAAAAGACUUGGAAAGGAAGAAUGUAGAACUGGAAGAACAAAACAAAAACUUAACUUCCACGAUAGGUCUAUUAUUUAUGUAGUGUUGUGUUUCUUUCUUAUUUUGCAGUUUAGUAGACUUUUAGUUAUGGGUUAUGAUCAAUUGUGGGGUGUCUAAUUAGUUAGUUUUCUUGAUGUUUCAGCUUGAAACAAAGGAAGCUGGGGGUCACUUUUAGUUUUGGGUUUUUGUCAAUUUUAUUCUGUAAGUUUUGCCCUUUUUCAUCAAUUUUGUAUUGGGUUUUCGAUUGUAAGUGUGGAUCUUAAGUUUUUGGUUUUGCAUAUGUGAGAGCCGCAGGUUUUGGAUUGUAUAUUACAUAUACAUUCAACAAUAUGAAGAUAGAUGAUAAUUUUCUUCUGGUGCAUAUGUUUACUUUUAUAAAGCUCUAAUAUAAGGUUAUAUAAUUUUGUUGUUUAUCUAUUUCUUAUUCAGGAGUAGUUCAUGAUGUUUGACAUGUUCGUUUGUUAAACUUUGAAGGGUUUUGAAGAUAAGCAAACUAUUCAUUUCUAUUUGUACUGAAAUUAUAUGUUUGGUGAUUGAUUGUUGACUGAUACAAGUAUAUUUUUGGACAGAUGAAUGCAGGUUGCUUUGUCAAGGCUUUUGGAUGGAUGGAUGCAGAUGUUUUGGAAGGAUAUUUGUUUUUUUUUUUGUCAUGGGUUGUAAUCAUUAUAAUUUGGAUUUCUUGCUUUAUUAUUUGUGUAUUUUUUUGUGAUGGUUUGCAUUGUGUGAAUUUGUGAUUAAUAGUUGUUUAGAAACU
This is a non-coding RNA of Prunus mume (Japanese apricot), 1213 nucleotides long. The record is from RefSeq and is a predicted model, not a curated record. NCBI's taxonomy places the organism in Eukaryota, Viridiplantae, Streptophyta, Magnoliopsida, Rosales, Rosaceae.